AUGCUGAGUGUCACAGUGCAAAAUUGGCCAGAAUCAUCAUGUCUAUGUGCUCUCCCUCCCAUAAGCAGUUUGAGUGUGUGGCUGCUGAACAGACGAGCCACACCACUGUUGUACAUCCUGUGCUGGGGAUCAGGGAACUCUCCCAUUUCAUUAAUACCUUCGUACAUCAGGGAGACUAACGAAAGUUCAGCGAAUCUGAAGAUCCUACUGAUAGGUGUGUCCAUCAUUUCUGAGGAAACCGGCAUGCUGAGAAGUAAAAAAUGUCCCCAAGCUGAAGAAUCUUUAUUCAAAUAUCUGAGCAGAGAUGGACAUGUUAAUGAAUCACUUUUCUCAAAAUUUUAUUCAAAAAAUUAUACAUUUUUGGCCAGGUGCGGUGGCUCACGCCUGUAAUCCCAGCACUCUGGGAGGUCUAGAUGGGCAGAUCACGAGGUCAGGAGAUCGAGACCAUCCUGGCUAACAUGGUGAAACCCCGUCUCCACUAAAAAUACAAAAAAUUAGCCAGGCUUGGUGGCGGGUGCCGGUAGUCC
Molecule: long non-coding RNA, 527 nt
Filed under: Pan troglodytes (chimpanzee)
Lineage: Eukaryota; Metazoa; Chordata; Mammalia; Primates; Hominidae
Description: lncRNA (ENSPTRG00000053400.1)
Source: RNAcentral